Molecule: ribosomal RNA, 511 nt
Filed under: uncultured bacterium
Lineage: Bacteria
Description: bacterial SSU rRNA
Rfam family: Bacterial small subunit ribosomal RNA
Source: RNAcentral
GAUGAACGCUAGCGGCAGGCCUAAUACAUGCAAGUCGAACGAGAUCAGUUCUUUCGGGAACUGGUUUAGUGGCGCACGGGUGCGUAACGCGUAUGCAACCUACCUUCCACAGGGGGAUAGCCCACCGAAGGGUGGAUUAAUACCGCAUAACACCACGGUCCUGGCAUCAGGAUGUGGUCAAAGAUUUAUCGGUGGAAGAUGGGCAUGCGUGCCAUUAGUUAGUUGGUAGGGUAACGGCCUACCAAGACUUCGAUGGCUAGGGGUUCUGAGAGGAUGGUCCCCCACACUGGUACUGAGACACGGACCAGACUCCUACGGGAGGCAGCAGUAGGGAAUAUUGGGCAAUGGCCGAGAGGCUGACCCAGCCAUGCCGCGUGCAGGAAGAAGGCCUUCUGGGUUGUAAACUGCUUUUAUCUGGGAAGAAAACGCCCCUGCGGGGGUAACUGACGGUACCAGAUAAAUAAGCACCGGCUAACUCCGUGCCAGCAGCCGCGGUAAUACGGAGGGUGCG